RNAcentral lists this ribosomal RNA (831 nucleotides) under uncultured Bacteroidota bacterium. Its description in RNAcentral is "bacterial SSU rRNA". It matches the Rfam family "Bacterial small subunit ribosomal RNA", at positions 60 to 882 of the family's 1533-position model. Lineage: Bacteria; Pseudomonadati; Bacteroidota. The record is from RNAcentral.
AGUCGAGGGGUACAGGGAGUGCUUGCACUCUGCUGACGACCGGCGCACGGGUGCGUAACGCGUAUGCAACCUACCUUCUACAGGGGGAUAGUCCAGAGAAAUUUGGCAUAAUACCCCAUACGAUCAUUUAUUGGCAUCGAUAGAUGAGGAAAACUCCGGUGGUAGAAGAUGGGCAUGCGUCCUAUUAGUUAGUUGGUAAGGUAACGGCUUACCAAGACAUCGAUAGGUAGGGGUCCUGAGAGGGAGAUCCCCCACACUGGUACUGAGACACGGACCAGACUCCUACGGGAGGCAGCAGUGAGGAAUAUUGGACAAUGGAGGCAACUCUGAUCCAGCCAUGCCGCGUGCAGGAAGACGGCCCUAUGGGUUGUAAACUGCUUUUAUACAGGAAGAAACGCCGCUACGUGUAGCGGUUUGACGGUACUGUACGAAUAAGGAUCGGCUAACUCCGUGCCAGCAGCCGCGGUAAUACGGAGGAUCCAAGCGUUAUCCGGAAUCAUUGGGUUUAAAGGGUCCGUAGGCGGUUUUUUAAGUCAGAGGUGAAAUCCUGCAGCUCAACUGUAGCAUUGCCUUUGAUACUGAAAGACUUGAGUUAUUGUGAAGUAGUUAGAAUGUGUAGUGUAGCGGUGAAAUGCAUAGAUAUUACACAGAAUACCGAUUGCGAAAGCAGAUUACUAACAAUAUACUGACGCUGAGGGACGAAAGCGUGGGUAGCGAACAGGAUUAGAUACCCUGGUAGUCCACGCCGUANACGAUGGAUACUAGCUGUUCGACCAACAUUGGUUGGUUGAGUGGCUAAGCGAAAGUGAUAAGUAUCCCACCUGGGGAGUA